CCCAGUUUGAACUUCCCGAGGGCUUCGUGUACACUGGUGAAGAGAAUAACUUCCCAAUCACCUAAGUCACCCUCCAACAAUGUCCUCAUGAACAGCUCUCUUGGUCUAAAUGUCCCACGUAAGUAAUGUACUGUAAAGUGGCCUAUGACAUUGAAACCCCAUCUACUCGUGGGAAGAAUCAGUAAUUAAAAGGUCAUUCUACUGGAGAAUAUCACACUACGUGAAAUAAGCAAGACACAAAAGGACAAAUAUGCAUGAUUCCAUGUAUGGGAGAAAGCUAUGGUAGUCAAAUUCACAGAGACAGAAAGUAGAUGGGCGGUUGCCAGGGGUUGGGAGGAGAGAGGAAUGAAGAGAUUGGUCUGCAAGAUGAAAAGAUGAAAAGCACUCCAGACAUGGAUGGUGGGGA
RNAcentral lists this long non-coding RNA (406 nucleotides) under Homo sapiens (human). RNAcentral describes it as "HSALNT0372272". Lineage: Eukaryota; Metazoa; Chordata; Mammalia; Primates; Hominidae. The record is from RNAcentral.